GAUGAACGCCAGCGGGAGGCUUAACACAUGCAAGUCGAGGGGCAGCAUAGGGUAGCAAUACUCUGAUGGCGACCGGCAAACGGGUGAGUAACGCGUAUGCAACCUACCCUGUACAGGGGGAUAACCCGGAGAAAUUCGGACUAAUAUCCCGUAAUAAUAUCCGGAGGCAUCUUUGGAUAUUUAAAGUUCCGACGGUACGGGAUGGGCAUGCGUAACAUUAACUGGUUGGUAAGGUAACGGCUUACCAAGGCUAUGAUGUUUAGGGGUCCUGAGAGGGUGGUCCCCCACACUGGUACUGAGACACGGACCAGACUCCUACGGGAGGCAGCAGUGAGGAAUAUUGGUCAAUGGGCGCAAGCCUGAACCAGCCAUCCCGCGUGCAGGAAGACGGCCCUAUGGGUUGUAAACUGCUUUUCCAGGGAGAGAAACUUACGCACGUGUUGCGUGACUGACGGUACCCUGGGAAUAAGCAUCGGCUAACUCCGUG
RNAcentral lists this ribosomal RNA (487 nucleotides) under uncultured bacterium. RNAcentral's name for it is "bacterial SSU rRNA". It matches the Rfam family "Bacterial small subunit ribosomal RNA", at positions 28 to 507 of the family's 1533-position model. The record is from RNAcentral.